RNAcentral lists this ribosomal RNA (1346 nucleotides) under uncultured bacterium. RNAcentral describes it as "partial 16S ribosomal RNA". It matches the Rfam family "Bacterial small subunit ribosomal RNA", at positions 28 to 1381 of the family's 1533-position model. The record is from RNAcentral.
GACGAACGCUGGCGGCGUGCUUAACACAUGCAAGUCGAACGGAAAGGCCCUGCUUUUGUGGGGUGCUCGAGUGGCGAACGGGUGAGUAACACGUGAGUAACCUGCCCUUGACUUUGGGAUAACUUCAGGAAACUGGGGCUAAUACCGGAUAGGAGCUCCUGCUGCAUGGUGGGGGUUGGAAAGUUUCGGCGGUUGGGGAUGGACUCGCGGCUUAUCAGCUUGUUGGUGGGGUAGUGGCUUACCAAGGCUUUGACGGGUAGCCGGCCUGAGAGGGUGACCGGCCACAUUGGGACUGAGAUACGGCCCAGACCCCUACGGGAGGCAGCAGUGGGGAAUAUUGCACAAUGGGCGGAAGCCUGAUGCAGCAACGCCGCGUGCGGGAUGACGGCCUUCGGGUUGUAAACCGCUUUCGCCUGUGACGAAGCGUGAGUGACGGUAAUGGGUAAAGAAGCACCGGCUAACUACGUGCCAGCAGCCGCGGUGAUACGUAGGGUGCGAGCGUUGUCCGGAUUUAUUGGGCGUAAAGGGCUCGUAGGUGGUUGAUCGCGUCGGAAGUGUAAUCUUGGGGCUUAACCCUGAGCGUGCUUUCGAUACGGGUUGACUUGAGGAAGGCAGGGGAGAAUGGAAUUCCUGGUGGAGCGGUGGAAUGCGCAGAUAUCAGGAGGAACACCAGUGGCGAAGGCGGUUCUCUGGGCCUUUCCUGACGCUGAGGAGCGGAAGCGUGGGGAGCGAACAGGCUUAGAUACCCUGGUAGUCCACGCUGUAAACGGUGGGUACUAGGUGUGGGGUCCAUUCCACGGGUUCCGUGCCGUAGCUAACGCUUUAAGUACCCCGCCUGGGGAGUACGGCCGCAAGGCUAAAACUCAAAGGAAUUGACGGGGCCCCGCACAAGCGGCGGAGCAUGCGGAUUAAUUCGAUGCAACGCGUAGAACCUUACCUGGGUUUGACAUGGAUCGGGAGUGCUCAGAGAUGGGUGUGCCUCUUUUGGGGUCGGUUCACAGGUGGUGCAUGGCUGUCGUCAGCUCGUGUCGUGAGAUGUUGGGUUAAGUCCCGCAACGAGCGCAACCCUUGUUCACUGUUGCCAGCACGUUAUGGUGGGGACUCAGUGGAGACCGCCGGGGUCAACUCGGAGGAAGGUGGGGAUGACGUCAAGUCAUCAUGCCCCUUAUGUCCAGGGCUUCACGCAUGCUACAAUGGCUGGUACAGAGAGUGGCGAGCCUGUGAGGGUGAGCGAAUCUCGGAAAGCCGGUCUCAGUUCGGAUUGGGGUCUGCAACUCGACCUCAUGAAGUCGGAGUCGCUAGUAAUCGCAGAUCAGCAACGCUGCGGUGAAUACGUUCCCGGGGCU